GCACAAUGGGCGCAAGCCUGAUGCAGCCAUGCCGCGUGUAUGAAGAAGGCCUUCGGGUUGUAAAGUACUUUCAGCAGUGAGGAAGUGGGUAUGUUAAUAGCAUAUUCAUUUGACGUUUAGCUGCAGAAGAAGCACCGGCUAACUCCGUGCCAGCAGCCGCGGUAAUACGGAGGGUGCGAGCGUUAAUCGGAAUUACUGGGCGUAAAGCGCAUGCAGGUGGUUUGUUAAGUCAGAUGUGAAAGCCCGGGGCUCAACCUCGGAAUUGCAUUUGAAACUGGCAAACUAGAGUACUGUAGAGGGGGUAGAAUUUCAGGUGUAGCGGUGAAAUGCGUAGAGAUCUGAAGGAAUACCGGUGGCGAAGGCGGCCCCCUGGACAGAUACUGACACUCAGAUGCGAAAGCGUGGGGAGCAAACAGGAUUAGAUACCCUGGUAG
RNAcentral lists this ribosomal RNA (434 nucleotides) under uncultured bacterium. Its description in RNAcentral is "bacterial SSU rRNA". It matches the Rfam family "Bacterial small subunit ribosomal RNA", at positions 366 to 793 of the family's 1533-position model. The record is from RNAcentral.